AGAAUCAACGCUGGCGGCGUGCCUCAGACAUGCAAGUCGAACGCGAAAGUCCCCUUCGGGGGACAAGUAGAGUGGCGCACGGGUGAGUAACACGUAGGUAAUCUACCUUCGGAUGGGGAAUAACAACCGGAAACGGUUGCUAAUACCGCAUAAUGCAGCGGCACCUAAUGGUGACAGUUGUUAAAGCGGGGGAUCGAAAGACCUCGCGUCGGAAGAGGAGCCUGCGGCGGAUUAGCUAGUUGGUAAGGUAAUGGCUUACCAAGGCUACGAUCC
This 273-nucleotide ribosomal RNA is filed under the name uncultured soil bacterium. RNAcentral's name for it is "partial 16S ribosomal RNA". It matches the Rfam family "Bacterial small subunit ribosomal RNA", at positions 26 to 282 of the family's 1533-position model. The record is from RNAcentral.